This 497-nucleotide ribosomal RNA is filed under the name uncultured bacterium. RNAcentral describes it as "partial 16S ribosomal RNA". It matches the Rfam family "Bacterial small subunit ribosomal RNA", at positions 28 to 507 of the family's 1533-position model. The record is from RNAcentral.
GAUGAACGCUGGCGGCGUGCCUAAUACAUGCAAGUCGAGCGAACAGACGAGGAGCUUGCUCCUCUGACGUUAGCGGCGGACGGGUGAGUAACACGUGGAUAACCUACCUAUAAGACUGGGAUAACUUCGGGAAACCGGAGCUAAUACCGGAUAAUAUGUUGAAUCGCAUGGUUCAACAGUGAAAGACGGUCUUGCUGUCACUUAUAGAUGGGUCCGCGCCGCAUUAGCUAGUUGGUAAGGUAACGGCUUACCAAGGCAACGAUGCGUAGCCGACCUGAGAGGGUGAUCGGCCACACUGGAACUGAGACACGGUCCAGACUCCUACGGGAGGCAGCAGUAGGGAAUCUUCCGCAAUGGGCGAAAGCCUGACGGAGCAACGCCGCGUGAGUGAAGAAGGUCUUCGGAUCGUAAAACUCUGUUAUUAGGGAAGAACAAAUGUGUAAGUAACUAUGCACGUCUUGACGGUACCUAAUCAGAAAGCCACGGCUAACUACGUG